UACGUAGGGUGCGAGCGUUAAUCGGAAUUACUGGGCGUAAAGCGUGCGCAGGCGGUUCGCUGUGUCCGAUGUGAAAGCCCCGGGCUUAACCUGGGAAUGGCAUUGGAAACUGGCGGGCUUGAGUGCGGUAGAGGAGAGUGGAAUUCCCGGUGUAGCAGUGAAAUGCGUAGAGAUCGGGAGGAACAUCAGUUGCGAAGGCGGCUCUCUGGACCAGCACUGACACUGAGGCACGAAAGCCAGGGGAGCAAACGGG
Molecule: ribosomal RNA, 253 nt
Filed under: uncultured bacterium
Lineage: Bacteria
Description: partial 16S ribosomal RNA
Rfam family: Bacterial small subunit ribosomal RNA
Source: RNAcentral